Molecule: non-coding RNA, 2194 nt
Organism: Pelobates cultripes (western spadefoot toad)
Lineage: Eukaryota; Metazoa; Chordata; Amphibia; Anura; Pelobatidae
Source: the annotation of a GenBank genome assembly
CUAGUCUUUAAUAUAGAUCUUCGCGAAAAGGAUUCUUGGAAUGGAAAACCGAAGGACCAUUGUGAAGCUACCUCAUUUGAUAACGGAACUUACAGGGAUUCCAAUUGCGACCUUACUGCCAUUUUAAUAGUUGUACCUUUUCCAUAAAACAUGAGAUGAAAGCAUAAACAGAGACAAUUUUAUUUAUCUUAAUGGAAUUAUCACCGUUUUCAUCAAUAGGAAAAUAAUGUAUGGGGUUAUUAAAGAAUAGAAAAUAGGAGCAAGAGUGUAACUUAAAAAAAAUGUAACUUUAUUCUUGCAAUAACACAUAGUAAUGAAUUAGAAAAAAAAAGUGUAAAAGUAGUAUGAUUAUCUUUAACAAGAUUUAUAAAAUGUUUUUCCACCAUUGUUUAUUGAACACAGAUUCACAAAUAAUAUGUGCUAGAAAAAACAUAUAUAAAUCUAAAAAUAACAUUGCAGGAGCCAGAAUGGAUUAGAGAUCUCUUUUAAGAGCAAAUGUUUGUCAUUAGCAUUAUUUUUAAAGUAAUGUAUAACCUGAUACUUAGAUAUUAUUAAAGCUGAUCAUUACCUAAAUACUGUAGUAGUGAUUGUGUUUUUGUAAGUAAAGGCUUCCAUGGUAUCUAAUGUGCUAUAUGGAGAUUAUAUAUAGGCACAUACCCCUCACUGAGUUGCACAUGGACAUUUCCACACAUUUCAGUGGACAGUAACAUUUGAGAUUGCACACAGAAUUAUAUUUGCAAAGCUAAAAGAUGUUUGUUGUGCUAUUUUUAGGAAAGAGAGAGGAUAUUUUAUGUGAAUACCUAAUUGUUAUUUACAAAAAAAUAUGUGCGUACAAAGGGAAAUAUCCACUGAUGUAUUGUGUAUUUGCACAUCAUGUGCUAAACAUCCAACUGUGAUCAACUGAUAAAUCAUAUUGCAAUGCACUUUAUCCUUAACAUAUUUUAUUCUUUGAUAAAAGAUAAAAGCUCACAUCUACUGUAACCGCGGCUGGUUCCCUUAUUUACCACUAUAAUGUCUUAAAGCAUAAAACUUAGUAGGGCUAACCAUACAGAUAUCUUAGCCAUAAUUUUAUAUAGUUAGUGUAAGAGAUCCUCUAUUUAAAAUACAUAAAUAAUUGAGAAUACAAUAAAAAUAGGAGUUGGAAGCAAUAACUUUUGUCUUAUUAAUAUAGUGUAUUGAAUAUAAAUGAAAACAGAUAUAUAAACUUAAUAAUCCAUUAAUAUAUCAUAAAGCAGAGUAUACACAAUUAAAUGAAUAAAUGCUUGCAAUAUAAAGUAUUAGUAUAACAUACCCUCCUGAUUAUUUCAGUAUGUCACCUCCAGAAUCAGUCAGUAAGUCUCUACCUAGCAUUGAUCAUGCAUGUAAAUAUAGUAUAGCAUUUCUAAUUACUACUGGUAAUGUAUGGGUUAAUUCAUCUUAGGGUUAAAAACAGUUCAUAUAUAAAAAUAAAAGAAAAACACCCUUAUCAGUCUAAUGCCAUAACCUAGACAUCUUUAAUCUGUAUUUGGACUAGAAGUUAGGUUGACAUACACCUUAGGGUUAAAAACAGUUCAUAUAUAAAAAUAAAAGAAAAACAUACUUAUCAGCCUAAUGUCAUAACCCAGACAUCUUUAAUCUUUAUUUGGACUAGACGUUAGGAUGACAUAGGCAAAGCCUUGAAUUGUUAUUGCAUUAAUCUAAGACAAGAUGGAGUAAACAUGUUGUGUACUGUAAAUAGGUAAAAUGUUAUUAGUUAAAGAAACAGUUGCAGUUUAAAGAAAUACAAUUUAGCAAUGUGUAUUAUACCUACAAUUGCCCAUCACACUACCAUUAUUGGUGAAAAAGUUGUGAUCCGCAAAAGCUUUCACCCGACUAUACAGUUGGGUGAAAGCUUUCACGGACUGGCAAUAAAUUGCCACAAAAUAUUUCCCCGGUGCUAUGAUCCGCCGGGUUUUCCUCUCGCAAGCUCGGAGCAUUGCCGCGAUUACUGUGGCAACGCUCCAAAUCUCACAAGAGUGAUCUCUAACCUGAGCUGCUAGAGUUCACUCCUUACCACUUGGACCACCAGGCCUUCCCCACAGACCACAAAGCAAAGGUAAGCAGGGAAGGGAGACAUGAAAAUUAUUAUUUUCAUUAAUUACAUUUUCUUUAUAAUUUAUUAAUCCACCCUCCAACCCCACAGACCCACAAUAAUUCAACCCCAUACACACACACU